GUCGAGAAUCUUUCACAAUGGGGGCAACCCUGAUGGAGCGACGCCGCGUGGAGGAUAAGGUCUUCGGAUUGUAAACUCCUGUCAUGCGUGAACAAGGUUGCUUGGUUAAUACCUGGGCAAAUUGAUGGUAACGCAAGAGGAAGAGACGGCUAACUCUGUGCCAGCAGCCGCGGUAAUACAGAGGUCUCAAGCGUUGUUCGGAAUCACUGGGCGUAAAGGGUGCGUAGGUGGCGUGGUAAGUCAGAUGUGAAAGCCCGGGGCUCAACCUCGGAACGGCAUCCGAUACUGCCAUGCUAGAGUACUGGAGAGGUGACUAGAAUUCUCGGUGUAGCAGUGAAAUGCGUAGAUAUCGAGAGGAAUACCAAAGGCGUAGGCAGGUCACUGGACAGUUACUGACACUGAGGCACGAAGGCCAGGGGAGCGAACGGGAUUAGAUACCCGUGUAGUCC
This 449-nucleotide ribosomal RNA is filed under the name uncultured bacterium. RNAcentral describes it as "partial 16S ribosomal RNA". It matches the Rfam family "Bacterial small subunit ribosomal RNA", at positions 354 to 796 of the family's 1533-position model. The record is from RNAcentral.